Molecule: long non-coding RNA, 1174 nt
Organism: Alosa sapidissima (American shad)
Lineage: Eukaryota; Metazoa; Chordata; Actinopteri; Clupeiformes; Clupeidae
Exons: 5
Source: RefSeq, a predicted model, not a curated record
UCAACACUGCGCAUGCUCAUACUGAUUGGCUAGAUAGAAGACAGCUGCUACACCUGUGAUCACCAGAUUCAUUUGCUGGGAGUUCUGGAAAUGCACGUUGUGGAGAGAAGUAACUUCUGUCAUGCCAAGGAGGACUACUCCCCUUCAGGAUGCCACUAAUCACAUCCUUGCAGGAAGAGACAAGAAUUCAGUGUUAGAAAUCAAAUAUAUUAAUCCAGUUAAAGUGCAGUGCAAAAAGGAAGAGAUGUGGCUUCCCAUCUGCUUCGAUCAACUUCAUUCUACAAUUUGGUGCCUUGUGCUCAUCGUUUACCAGUCAUCCAAAUGACCUAUCUUCAAGUGCUCCAUCAAUGCUGCAAAUGUACAAACAUCAUGCACUAAACAGACGUUUAUAGUGACACUUGUACCUUCAUUUUUAAGCAACUACAGUACACUAAUGUCAACAUCCAAUACAAGUAUAGUGUUCGAUGCACAGUUGAUGCAAGUUAAAGUGCAACAUGAGAUCUUUACUUCAGAAAUCCUGACUUCUCACUAUAGUAAUCUAAACAUAUUAGUCAUUCUAAACCUACCACCAUGUCUUCCGCUUCCAUGUGAAGUCAAACAUGAAGAUCGAACAUGCAUUGUGGUACAGUUUACGCCUAUGUUCAGCUUCAGCUGCAUCAAUGAGCUCCCAUCUAUACUCCACCACAAAGUCUCCUUGAUUGAAAACAGCUACAGUGAAGAUACCACGACCUGCAGACACAACCUUAUUAGAGUAACAGGGGUAGCAGACUAUCCAUUGGAUACAACUCAAAUUACGGCUGGAACUGAAAUCACUUAUGACUAUGGUGGGAAAGAAUGGCCCUGGCAUAAAGAGACACAACUCAGUGGUGGAAGCUUCCCUUCUGGCCAACACUCCGUUGCAGAGCUUAGUGACCACGCCCAUGACUUGGAACCCGAUGUUUUCUCUACAGACUUAUUCAGAGACACUGAAUUGAGAGCAGAGUGUCAGUCAUCCAGUCCCACACCAGACAGCCCUGCGCAUGCAUUUACAGUCUAUAAAUCUUUGUCGGUACAGAUAGUCAUCACUUCACACUUUGUUCCCCUGUCUACAUCGUUUUCAGUGUCAUAAACUUAAAGGUUUGAGUGAAAUGAACACUGUACCAGUUGAUGCCUGUUCAUCUUUGCAUAUUGCUGU